RNAcentral lists this transfer RNA (73 nucleotides) under Felis catus (domestic cat). It matches the Rfam family "tRNA". Rfam says of the family: Transfer RNA (tRNA) molecules are approximately 80 nucleotides in length. Lineage: Eukaryota; Metazoa; Chordata; Mammalia; Carnivora; Felidae. The record is from Rfam by way of RNAcentral.
ACCUGCCUGGCUCAGUCAGAAGAGCGUAAGACUCUUGAUCUCAGGGUUGUGAGUUCGAGCCCCAUGUUGGGUA